RNAcentral lists this ribosomal RNA (530 nucleotides) under uncultured bacterium. Its description in RNAcentral is "bacterial SSU rRNA". It matches the Rfam family "Bacterial small subunit ribosomal RNA", at positions 355 to 901 of the family's 1533-position model. The record is from RNAcentral.
UGGGGAAUCUUGGACAAUGGGGGCAACCCUGAUCCAGCCAUGCCGCGUGAGUGAUGAAGGCCUUAGGGUCGUAAAGCUCUUUCACCGGUGAAGAUAAUGACGGUAGCAGGUAAAGAAACCCCGGCUAACUCCGUGCCAGCAGCCGCGGUAAUACGGAGGGGGUUAGCGUUGUUCGGAAUUACUGGGCGUAAAGCGCACGUAGGCGGACCAGAAAGUUGGGGGUGAAAUCCCGGGGGCUCAACCCCGGAACUGCCUCCAAAACUAUUGGUCUAGAGUUCGAGAGAGGUGAGUGGAAUUCCAAGUGUAGAGGUGAAAUUCGUAGAUAUUUGGAGGAACACCAGUGGCGAAGGCGGCUCACUGGCUCGAUACUGACGCUGAGGUGCGAAAGUGUGGGGAGCAAACAGGAUUAGAUACCCUGGUAGUCCACACCGUAAAACGAUGAAUGCCAGUCGUCGGGUAGCAUGCUAUUCGGUGACACACCUAACGGAUUAAGCAUUCCGCCUGGGGAGUACGGUCGCAAGAUUAAAACU